AAACGCUGCACCGAAUUAGGAGAUGAAGCAGAGACGUUUCUGUUGGAAUCACACCUCGGCAGCGUCUGAGCCCAACGCCUUCUCUCCUCUGUUCCUCCCUUCCCUCCAGCUCAGACUUAGAUAUUCACUCUGGCGCUGGAGUCUCGCUUUUCUUUCUUCCCUUCUCACGAAAAGGACUUGCUGUCUCAACUCUUUCACAGGCUUUCAUUUUAUUCUGGCUUUCGAAACUUCCCUUCCAUAUUUUUUCCUUCCCUUUGUGUUUCUUUCUGGGUUUCCUUUCUCAAAACCAUUUGCUAUGUAUUCUUUCCCCACUCACUCAUUCAUUGAUUUGUUCAUCCUUUCUUCCACCUUUCCCUUUUCACACAUGCACAAAAAAACCCUCAAUGUACCUUUCCAAUCUCUUCACUGCUGAUCUAAAACAGAAAACCAGGGAGAAAAAGUCAGGUCAAAAUCGUGGGCUUAGACCUGAAUUGCAUGAAAAGCAAGUUCAAAAAGUAAAGAAACCUUGUGCUAAGCACACCUUUAUAUAGGAUUUCUCUCCAGGAAUUCUGGCUUCUCUCCCAUACAGCAAUCACUAGUGGGGAGAUUGCAUACAACAGAGGCAUUUGGAGAGAGAAGCAGAGGAGGAGAGAGAAACCAAUUAUCUGGGCCUAUAUUUGGGCCACUCGUAUGUCCGGAUGUGAAAAUGGCUAUCGUCAUGGGGUCCUUUUGCCGAACUGUCUUUGGCCCUCACUACCGCUGGCCUGGUGACCCACAUAUGAAAUCUGUGUCUGAUAUUGGGAGAAACUGUAAGGCUAUCCAAUCCAACCCUCUUCCGGAAAUCAGGACAGUUCUCCUGUUAGCUCCCGCCUCGUAACUGCCUAAUUUCCAAUAUGAUUUGGGCUCAAAUCCUUGCAAGGUGCUGUUGUUGUUUCCCUAAUACCAGCUAUGUAGAAACCAGGCAGUGUUGCUCAGAAGAGACCGGCGGGGGUGGCAUGGCACUCUGCACAUGCUUAGUUCAAUCCUGUUCUUUCCCAUGAUCCAAUGCCUAGCUUUCGCACAUGAAAGAUAAUAAUAAUCUGGCUGGAUUUCCCCAGAUGCAGAUCUGAUCAUCACAAUCCGGCCUACCAUCAAAAUGCACUUACAAGCUGAGUCAGAUGAAAUACAGGAAUAACCCACCAACCCUAUGGUCCACAGGAAAAGGCCCAAAAAUGUUCCCAUUUUUGUGUAGACCCCCCUGCCAUGCCCCCUUGUACUUUGCUGUGGUUCUGAAAUCUAUUUAUAUUUCAUCCCACCUACUCACUUCAUUGCCUUCUCCCCCCCCCAUCUCC
Podarcis muralis (Common wall lizard) is the source of this 1310-nucleotide non-coding RNA. Lineage: Eukaryota; Metazoa; Chordata; Lepidosauria; Squamata; Lacertidae. The record is from RefSeq and is a predicted model, not a curated record.